CCUUGACAUACUAAGAACUUUCCAGAGAUGGAUUUGGGUGCCUUCGGGAACUUAGAUACAGGUGCUGCAUGGCUGUCGUCAGCUCGUGUCGUGAGAUGUUGGGUUAAGUCCCGNAACGAGCGCAACCCUUUUCCUUAUUUGCCAGCGGGUCAUGCCGGGAACUUUAAGGAUACUGCCAGUGACAAACUGGAGGAAGGCGGGGACGACGUCAAGUCAUCAUGGCCCUUACGGCCAGGGCUACACACGUGCUACAAUGGUCGGUACAAAGGGUUGCUACCUCGCGAGAGGAUGCUAAUCUCAAAAAGCCGAUCGUAGUCCGGAUCGCAGUCUGCAACUCGACUGCGUGAAGUCGGAAUCGCUAGUAAUCGCGGAUCAGAAUGCCGCGGUGAAUACGUUCCCGGGCCUUGUACACACCGCCCGUCACACCAUGGGAGUUUGUUGCACCAGAAGUAGGUAGUCUAACCGCAAGGAGGACGCUUACCACGGUGUGGCCGAUGACUGGGGUGAAGUCGUAACAAGGUAAGCGUAGAUGA
Molecule: ribosomal RNA, 533 nt
Filed under: uncultured bacterium
Lineage: Bacteria
Description: bacterial SSU rRNA
Rfam family: Bacterial small subunit ribosomal RNA
Source: RNAcentral